AUUGAACGCUGGCGGCAGGCCUAACACAUGCAAGUCGAGCGGUAGAGAGAAGCUUGCUUCUCUUGAGAGCGGCGGACGGGUGAGUAAUGCCUAGGAAUCUGCCUGGUAGUGGGGGAUAACGUUCGGAAACGGACGCUAAUACCGCAUACGUCCUACGGGAGAAAGCAGGGGACCUUCGGGCCUUGCGCUAUCAGAUGAGC
This 200-nucleotide ribosomal RNA is filed under the name uncultured bacterium. RNAcentral describes it as "partial 16S ribosomal RNA". It matches the Rfam family "Bacterial small subunit ribosomal RNA", at positions 30 to 230 of the family's 1533-position model. The record is from RNAcentral.